CGGCUGCGGGGCCGCGGCCGCCGGGGCGGUCGCCUUGCGGGUGGCGCGGCGGCGCGUCCGGCCGUUCGGCUCGGCCUCGACCGUC
This 85-nucleotide transfer RNA is filed under the name Streptomyces toxytricini. RNAcentral describes it as "tRNA-Ala". The record is from RNAcentral. Lineage: Bacteria; Bacillati; Actinomycetota; Actinomycetes; Kitasatosporales; Streptomycetaceae.